This 132-nucleotide ribosomal RNA is filed under the name Prevotella sp. lc2012. RNAcentral's name for it is "partial 16S rRNA. Bacterial SSU". It matches the Rfam family "Bacterial small subunit ribosomal RNA", at positions 1 to 121 of the family's 1533-position model. The record is from RNAcentral. Lineage: Bacteria; Pseudomonadati; Bacteroidota; Bacteroidia; Bacteroidales; Prevotellaceae.
UUACAGUGAAGAGUUUGAUCCUGGCUCAGGAUGAACGCUAGCUACAGGCUUAACACAUGCAAGUCGAGGGGCAGCAUUAUCGAAGCUUGCUUUGAUAGAUGGCGACCGGCGCACGGGUGAGUAACGCGUAUC